This is a long non-coding RNA of Passer domesticus (house sparrow), 345 nucleotides long. RefSeq lists it as uncharacterized. The transcript has 3 exons. The record is from RefSeq and is a predicted model, not a curated record. NCBI's taxonomy places the organism in Eukaryota, Metazoa, Chordata, Aves, Passeriformes, Passeridae.
GUGUCCCAGGGUGUAGCAGGGUGUCCCACAGGUGUCCCAGGGUGUCCCGGGGUGUCCCGGGGUGUCCAAGGGUAUCCCAGAGGUGUUCCAGGGGUGUCCCACGGUGUUUGGGGGUGUCCCAGGGGUGUCCUGGAGGUGUCCUGGGGGUGUCUCAGUGUCCCAGGAUGUCCCAGGGUCAUCCCAGUGUGUCCUGGGGGUGUUCCCAGGGUGUCCCAGGGGUGCCCCAGGGGUGUCUCAGUGUUCCACGGUAUCCCAGUGUGUCCCAGGGAUGUCCUGGGGGUGUCCCUGGGGUAUCCCAGGGUGUUUGGGGGUGUCCCAGGGUGUCCUGGAUGUGUUCUGGGGGUG